RNAcentral lists this ribosomal RNA (587 nucleotides) under uncultured bacterium. RNAcentral describes it as "bacterial SSU rRNA". It matches the Rfam family "Bacterial small subunit ribosomal RNA", at positions 338 to 916 of the family's 1533-position model. The record is from RNAcentral.
CCUACGGGAGGCAGCAGUGGGGAAUUUUGGACAAUGGGGGCAACCCUGAUCCAGCAAUGCCGCGUGAGUGAAGAAGGCCUUCGGGUUGUAAAGCUCUUUUGUCAGGGAAGAAACAGCAGCUCUAACACAGACUGCGAAUGACGGUACCUGAAGAAUAAGCACCGGCUAACUACGUGCCAGCAGCCGCGGUAAUACGUAGGGUGCGAGCGUUAAUCGGAAUUACUGGGCGUAAAGCGUGCGCAGGCGGUUAUACAAGACAGGCGUGAAAUCCCCGGGCUUAACCUGGGAAUGGCGUCUGUGACUGUAUAGCUAGAGUGUGUCAGAGGGGGGUGGAAUUCCACGUGUAGCAGUGAAAUGCGUAGAUAUGUGGAGGAACACCAAUGGCGAAGGCAGCCCCCUGGGAUAACACUGACGCUCAUGCACGAAAGCGUGGGGAGCAAACAGGAUUAGAUACCCUGGUAGUCCACGCCCUAAACGAUGCUGACUAGUUGUUGGGAAUUUACAUUCUCAGUAACGUAGCUAAACGCGUGAAGUCAGCCGCCUGGGGAGUUACGGUCGCAAGAUUAAAACUUCAAAGGAAUUGACGG